Molecule: small nuclear RNA, 107 nt
Organism: Physeter macrocephalus (sperm whale)
Lineage: Eukaryota; Metazoa; Chordata; Mammalia; Artiodactyla; Physeteridae
Source: Ensembl
GUGUUCACUUCAGCAGCACAUAUACUGAAAUUGGAAUGAUACAAAGAAGAUUAUCACGGCCCCUGCACAAGGAUGACUCACAAAUUCAUGAAGCAGUCCAUAUUUUU